UGGGGAAUAUUGCGCAAUGGGCGAAAGCCUGACGCAGCGACGCCGCGUGCGGGAUGAAGGCCUUCGGGUUGUAAACCGCUGUCGGGAGGGACGAAUCAAUGACGGUACCUCCAAAGGAAGCACCGGCUAACUCUGUGCCAGCAGCCGCGGUAAUACAGAGGGUGCGAGCGUUGUCCGGAAUUACUGGGCGUAAAGGGCGCGUAGGCGGUUCGGUAAGUAGGGGGUGAAAUGCUGCGGCUCAACCGCAGCCCUGCCUUCUAGACUGCCGGACUCGAGCACAGUAGAGGCAGGUGGAAUUCCCGGUGUAGCGGUGGAAUGCGUAGAGAUCGGGAAGAACAUCGGUGGCGAAGGCGGCCUGCUGGGCUGUUGCUGACGCUGAGGCGCGACAGCGUGGGGAGCA
This 400-nucleotide ribosomal RNA is filed under the name uncultured bacterium. Its description in RNAcentral is "bacterial SSU rRNA". It matches the Rfam family "Bacterial small subunit ribosomal RNA", at positions 355 to 770 of the family's 1533-position model. The record is from RNAcentral.